CAGUAGCCGCGGGAAUACGAAGGGUGCAAGCGUUAAUCGGAAUUACUGAGCGUAAAGCGCGCGUAGGUGGUUCAUUAAGUUGGAUGUGAAAGCCCUGGGCUCAACCUGGGAACUGCAUCCAAAACUGGUGAGCUAGAGUACGGUAGAGGGUAGUGGAAUUUCCUGUGUAGCGGUGAAAUGCGUAGAUAUAGGAAGGAACACCAGUGGCGAAGGCGACUACCUGGACUGAUACUGACACUGAGGUGCGAAAGCGUGGGGAGCAAACAGGAUUAGAUACCCCCGUAGUCCCUGUCUCUUAUAC
RNAcentral lists this ribosomal RNA (301 nucleotides) under uncultured bacterium. RNAcentral's name for it is "partial 16S ribosomal RNA". It matches the Rfam family "Bacterial small subunit ribosomal RNA", at positions 509 to 807 of the family's 1533-position model. The record is from RNAcentral.